This 246-nucleotide ribosomal RNA is filed under the name uncultured bacterium. Its description in RNAcentral is "partial 16S ribosomal RNA". It matches the Rfam family "Bacterial small subunit ribosomal RNA", at positions 29 to 266 of the family's 1533-position model. The record is from RNAcentral.
UAUGAACGCUGGCGGCGCGCCUAAUACAUGCAAGUCGAGCGAGAAGACGUAGCAAUACGUUUGUAAAGCGGCGAACGGGUGAGGAAUACAUGGGUAACCUACCCUCGAGUGGGGAAUAACUAGCCGAAAGGUUAGCUAAUACCGCGUACGCUCCUUGGACUUCGGUUCAGGGAGGAAAGCGAUACCGUGGGUAUCGCGCUCUUGGUUGGGCCCAUGUCCUAUCAGCUUGUUGGCGGGGAACGGCCC